RNAcentral lists this ribosomal RNA (253 nucleotides) under uncultured bacterium. RNAcentral's name for it is "partial 16S ribosomal RNA". It matches the Rfam family "Bacterial small subunit ribosomal RNA", at positions 524 to 776 of the family's 1533-position model. The record is from RNAcentral.
UACAGAGGUGGCAAGCGUUGUUCGGAAUUACUGGGCGUAAAGGGCGCGUAGGCGGCCUACUAAGUCAGACGUGAAAUCCCCCGGCUUAACCUGGGAACUGCGUCUGAUACUGGAAGGCUUGAGGAUGGGAGAGGGAUGUAGAAUUCCAGGUGUAGCGGUGAAAUGCGUAGAUAUCUGGAGGAAUACCGGUGGCGAAGGCGGCAUCCUGGACCAUUACUGACGCUGAGGCGCGAAAGCUAGGGGGGCAAACGGG